Long non-coding RNA from Musa acuminata AAA Group (dessert banana), 1087 nucleotides. RefSeq lists it as uncharacterized. The record is from RefSeq and is a predicted model, not a curated record. NCBI's taxonomy places the organism in Eukaryota, Viridiplantae, Streptophyta, Magnoliopsida, Zingiberales, Musaceae. The transcript has 2 exons.
UUGAGGAAAAUGAAUUCUCCAUAACAGAUUAAAAUGAUAACUUUUCUUCUUUUUUUUUUUUUGCUGCUUUUUCAUGAGCAGUCAUUAUGUGACUUCAAAUCUCUUUUUUGUUUGUUUAUAUUUUUUUAAGAAAAUUGAUUUACUCAUUAAAUUAACCUAUUUGCUUGCUGAAUCAUGAACUGGGAAAUCAGUUUAUUAAUCUGAUAUUUUUACGGCACAAUAGCAUAAUUAAAUGUUUAUUUGCAGCAGAUUUUGUUUAGAAUUUAUUAAGAAUAAUUAACCAGCCAGUAUUAACUAGGGAUGCAAAUCACAGAAAGAUCCGAACCAGAAUAAAUCGGGUCCCAGUCGGGUCAUGCUCUAAAUGGAUCCAUAUUGGCUGGCCUCUAUGCCCGGUAAGAAAUAGGAGACGAUAGCGCAACGAGAGCGGCUUAUCCACGAGGCCGCUCCACCGUGUCGGGAAGCUCACAUGGCUCUUCUCCUCCCUCCCCUCCUCUCCUCCGACGGUUUACCUUCCCGUUUCAGCUCGUCUCUAUGAGCUUUGAUUGCACUUCUUUCAGCCUUGAGGUUGCAAAGGAACCUCAUUCUUCAACCAAGAUCCUUCGAUGGACUGACUGUUUCCUUGCCUUGUGCAUUCGCGGAGAGGAGGUUGACGAUUGUUCAUGCAUCUUCGGAGACCGAUGGGAACGAGGGAAGUGAAGCCGAGGCUUCUCCACCAGAGGCCUCUGAAACGGCUAUGUCGGUGGAGAAUCUUCCUCUCGAGUCGAAGAUGAAGCUAAAACUUGAGCAGAAGCUGAGGAUGAAGCUUGCCAAGAAGAUUAGGCUUCGGAGGAAGAGGCUUUUGCGGAAGCGGAGGAUGAGGAAGAAGGUACGAUGGCCGCCUUCAAAGAUGAAGAAGCUUAAGAAUGUAUGAUCGACAAUACGACGGGGUGCAAGCAUUGACUUUGCAUUUCUUGUAUUGUGUACUGGUAAAAGACUUUUCUACAAAUGCAUUGACUUUUCUACAAAUGGAAUAGAUUCUUUGGCUCCGAGCAAAGUGAUGGAGAUAUAACCUUUACCCAGUGUUUGCUCGGCCAUCAUAUUGCAUAUA